This 726-nucleotide ribosomal RNA is filed under the name Staphylococcus aureus. RNAcentral's name for it is "partial 23S ribosomal RNA". It matches the Rfam family "Bacterial large subunit ribosomal RNA", at positions 328 to 1056 of the family's 2925-position model. Lineage: Bacteria; Bacillati; Bacillota; Bacilli; Caryophanales; Staphylococcaceae. The record is from RNAcentral.
AUUAGACGAAUCAUCUGGAAAGAUGAAUCAAAGAAGGUAAUAAUCCUGUAGUCGAAAAUGUUGUCUCUCUUGAGUGGAUCCUGAGUACGACGGAGCACGUGAAAUUCCGUCGGAAUCUGGGAGGACCAUCUCCUAAGGCUAAAUACUCUCUAGUGACCGAUAGUGAACCAGUACCGUGAGGGAAAGGUGAAAAGCACCCCGGAAGGGGAGUGAAAUAGAACCUGAAACCGUGUGCUUACAAGUAGUCAGAGCCCGUUAAUGGGUGAUGGCGUGCCUUUUGUAGAAUGAACCGGCGAGUUACGAUUUGAUGCAAGGUUAAGCAGUAAAUGUGGAGCCGUAGCGAAAGCGAGUCUGAAUAGGGCGUUUAGUAUUUGGUCGUAGACCCGAAACCAGGUGAUCUACCCUUGGUCAGGUUGAAGUUCAGGUAACACUGAAUGGAGGACCGAACCGACUUACGUUGAAAAGUGAGCGGAUGAACUGAGGGUAGCGGAGAAAUUCCAAUCGAACCUGGAGAUAGCUGGUUCUCUCCGAAAUAGCUUUAGGGCUAGCCUCAAGUGAUGAUUAUUGGAGGUAGAGCACUGUUUGGACGAGGGGCCCCUCUCGGGUUACCGAAUUCAGACAAACUCCGAAUGCCAAUUAAUUUAACUUGGGAGUCAGAACAUGGGUGAUAAGGUCCGUGUUCGAAAGGGAAACAGCCCAGACCACCAGCUAAGGUCCCAAAAUAUA